RNAcentral lists this ribosomal RNA (423 nucleotides) under Fusobacteriota bacterium. RNAcentral's name for it is "Fusobacteria bacterium partial 16S ribosomal RNA". It matches the Rfam family "Bacterial small subunit ribosomal RNA", at positions 355 to 776 of the family's 1533-position model. Lineage: Bacteria; Fusobacteriati; Fusobacteriota. The record is from RNAcentral.
UGAGGGAUAUUGGUCAAUGGGCGGAAGCCUGAACCAGCCAUGCCGCGUGCCGGAAGACGGCCCUACGGGCUGUAAACGGCUUUUCGCCCCGAGGAAUAAGGGGGCCUCGGCCCCCGAUGCCAGUAGGGGCGGAAUAAGGAUCGGCUAACUCCGUGCCAGCAGCCGGGGUAAUACGGAGGAUUCGAGCGUUAUCCGGAUUUACUGGGUUUAAAGGGCGCGUAGGCGGCCCGGCAGGUCUGCGGGCAAAUGGAGGGGCCCAACCCCUUUUCGCCGUGGAAACCGCGGGGCUUGGAGCGGCACGAGGUGGGCGGAAUGCGUGGUGUAGCGGUGAAAUGCGUAGAUAUCACGUGGAAGGCCAAUAUCGAAGGCAGCUUGCCAGUGCCGACUCGACGCUGCAGCGCGAAAGCGUGGGGAGCGAACAGG